UACGAAGGGGGCUAGCGUUGUUCGGAUUUACUGGGCGUAAAGAGCUCGUAGGCGGUUUGUCGCGUCGGCCGUGAAAUCUCCACGCUUAACGUGGAGCGUGCGGUCGAUACGGGCAGACUUGAGUUCGGUAGGGGAGACUGGAAUUCCUGGUGUAGCGGUGAAAUGCGCAGAUAUCAGGAGGAACACCGGUGGCGAAGGCGGGUCUCUGGGCCGAUACUGACGCUGAGGAGCGAAAGCGUGGGGAGCGAACAGG
This 253-nucleotide ribosomal RNA is filed under the name uncultured bacterium. RNAcentral's name for it is "partial 16S ribosomal RNA". It matches the Rfam family "Bacterial small subunit ribosomal RNA", at positions 524 to 776 of the family's 1533-position model. The record is from RNAcentral.